This 180-nucleotide long non-coding RNA is filed under the name Bos indicus x Bos taurus (hybrid cattle). RNAcentral describes it as "lncRNA (ENSBIXG00005004897.1)". The record is from RNAcentral. Lineage: Eukaryota; Metazoa; Chordata; Mammalia; Artiodactyla; Bovidae.
GGUCGCACAAAAAGCAAGUUCCCGGGAUUCAGUCUGUAGUCUGAGUGGGCUGGCGUGUUCUCGCUGGGCUAUUUCUGUACAAAAAGCUGUCUGGAACCAUCUGAGAAUCACUAACCGCUGCGGUUUACGUGAGUUCUCUGAUAGCUGAUGCGGCCACUGAUAUGAUCAACCGUGUGAUCA